Molecule: ribosomal RNA, 267 nt
Filed under: unidentified gamma proteobacterium groupE
Lineage: Bacteria; Pseudomonadati; Pseudomonadota; Gammaproteobacteria
Description: partial 16S small subunit ribosomal RNA
Rfam family: Bacterial small subunit ribosomal RNA
Source: RNAcentral
UGUCCUUAUUUGCCAGCACGUAAUGGUGGGAACUCUAAGGAGACUGCCGGUGACAAACCGGAGGAAGGUGGGACGACGUCAAGUCAUCAUGGCCCUUAUGACCAGGGCUACACACGUGCUACAAUGGGACGUACAGAGGGUUGCUAAGCCGCGAGGUGGAGCCAAUCCCAGAAAACGUUUCGUAGUCCGGAUCGAAGUCUGCAACUCGACUUCGUGAAGUCGGAAUCGCUAGUAAUCGCGAAUCAGCAUGUCGCGGUAAAUACGUUC